RNAcentral lists this ribosomal RNA (278 nucleotides) under uncultured Christensenellaceae bacterium. Its description in RNAcentral is "partial 16S ribosomal RNA". It matches the Rfam family "Bacterial small subunit ribosomal RNA", at positions 511 to 788 of the family's 1533-position model. Lineage: Bacteria; Bacillati; Bacillota; Clostridia; Christensenellales; Christensenellaceae. The record is from RNAcentral.
GCAGCCGCGGUAAUACGUAGGGGGCAAGCGUUGUCCGGAAUGAUUGGGCGUAAAGGGCGCGUAGGCGGCUCGGUAAGUCUGGAGUGAAAGUCCUGCUUUCAAGGUGGGAAUUGCUUUGGAUACUGUCGAGCUUGAGUGCAGGAGAGGUAAGUGGAAUUCCCAGUGUAGCGGUGAAAUGCGUAGAGAUUGGGAGGAACACCAGUGGCGAAGGCGACUUACUGGACUGUAACUGACGCUGAGGCGCGAAAGUGUGGGGAGCAAACAGGAUUAGAUACCCC